UAAGUGAAAGCCAAAGAGCGGCGCCUAGCUGUUAAUUAGGAGAAUGUAAUAAAAUUUACUCAUUUAG
RNAcentral lists this transfer RNA (67 nucleotides) under Tritia incrassata. RNAcentral's name for it is "tRNA-Asn". The record is from RNAcentral. Lineage: Eukaryota; Metazoa; Mollusca; Gastropoda; Neogastropoda; Nassariidae.